UACGGAGGGUGCAAGCGUUAUCCGGAUUUACUGGGUUUAAAGGGUGCGUAGGCGGAUUGGUAAGUCCGUGGUGAAAUCUCCGAGCUUAACUCGGAAACUGCCAUGGAUACUAUUAGUCUUGAAUAUUGUGGAGGUUAGCGGAAUAUGUCAUGUAGCGGUGAAAUGCAUAGAUAUGACAUAGAACACCAAUUGCGAAGGCAGCUGGCUACACAAAUAUUGACGCUGAUGCACGAAAGCGUGGGGAUCAAACAGG
RNAcentral lists this ribosomal RNA (253 nucleotides) under uncultured bacterium. RNAcentral's name for it is "partial 16S ribosomal RNA". It matches the Rfam family "Bacterial small subunit ribosomal RNA", at positions 524 to 776 of the family's 1533-position model. The record is from RNAcentral.